UUAAAAAUGGACUAAAUUGAAUUUCUCUCCAAUAAGUAUUGGGCCAAAUUAAGUUUUAAGCUGCAUAUACUGCAGUAUCAUCCACUCAUCCGAUUUUUUCUAAAAUAAAAAGUAGUCAUUGGUUUUGUUCAUGUGCAGAUUUACUGUACCACAAGCUACAUCAUCUCGCAUUUCCAUUAACAAAAGGGUCCAAGAUUACUUAAGAUGGAUGGCAAGGAUGGGACUUCACAUAAAUUGAGACAAAAAGAAAAACACAAGCAAUUUGCUCCAUUUGGUUUCUUGGAGAAAGUAGGAAUACAAAAAAAUAAACUUGUUCUCCUAUCAAAAUAUGUAGUACGGAAAUGGAAAUGCAGACAGAGAAACGCAAAAAUGGAAAAAAAAACAUUUUCAA
Molecule: unclassified non-coding RNA, 391 nt
Filed under: Hevea brasiliensis (rubber tree)
Lineage: Eukaryota; Viridiplantae; Streptophyta; Magnoliopsida; Malpighiales; Euphorbiaceae
Source: RNAcentral